This 642-nucleotide long non-coding RNA is filed under the name Numida meleagris (helmeted guineafowl). RNAcentral describes it as "lncRNA (ENSNMEG00000000956.1)". Lineage: Eukaryota; Metazoa; Chordata; Aves; Galliformes; Numididae. The record is from RNAcentral.
CUCUAUGAGGUCUCUCUAUGGGGUCUCUCUAUGGGUCUCUCUAUGGGUCUCUAUGGGUCUCUCUAUGGGGUCUCUAUGGGUCUCUAUGGGUCUGUCUAUGGGUCACUCUAUGGGUCCCUAUGGGUCGCAGUGGGUCUCUAUGGGUCUCUCUAUGGGUCACUCUAUGGGUCGCUAUGGGUCACAGUGGGUCUCUAUGGGUCGCAGUGGGUCUCUAUGGGUCGCAGUGGGUCUCUAGGGGUCUCUCUAUGGGUCUCUCUAUGGGUCUCUCUAUGGGUCUCUAUGGGGUCUCUAUGGGUCUCUAUGGGUCGCAGUGGGUCGCUAUGGGUCUCACCGUGCAGCAUCCAGACGCACUCUCCCAUGACGGAAUAGUUCCCGGCGCCGUCGCUCAAAGCCCCGCCCCCUUUCAGGCUCCACCUCUUCCCGGUGCAAGCCCCGCCCUCUGCCCCGCCCACCGCCACCAGCAGCAUUAGCCACGCCCACAAAAGGGGCGGGGCCAUGGUGCCCCGGGGGCGGGGCUUCGGGGAAGGGGCGUGGUUUAGCGGAGAGGGGGCGUGGUCUUCGCGGAGUGGGCGGGGCUUCGUGCUGGAAAGAGAGAGAGACAGGGUGGGGGUUAGGGGGCUCGGACCCAUAGCGCGCCCCAUA